Jatropha curcas is the source of this 1442-nucleotide non-coding RNA. The record is from RefSeq and is a predicted model, not a curated record. NCBI's taxonomy places the organism in Eukaryota, Viridiplantae, Streptophyta, Magnoliopsida, Malpighiales, Euphorbiaceae.
CAAAAAGUUUCAAAACCUUUGAAUUCUCUGCAACCGCCAGAACCCGCUGAAUUCUGAUUCCCUCUCUUCUGCGACUGUUUGAAUUUUGGCAUUUUUGAAGAAUUAUUGAUCAUUCCCGCUCUGAAAGCGGUAAUUCUUAAGGAUUCAAAAGAUGGAUGAGUCUACGAAGCAAUUUCAGCAAAGCUUGGUUUAGCUUGAAAUUGAAGCUCAGCCACCUCCUUUAGCGCGGCAUCAGGUCAUUCAUGCCCUUUUAACUUCAUGUCUCUCAAAUAACACUUGGAUAAAUCUCUUUGUUUGCUGAGAGAUGUGAGGGAAAGGAAAAUCCAUCAUUAGAGUUACAUGAUGUACCUCUGAAAGCAUUUGCCCUUACUGAGAAAGUAGAGAAAAAUAAUGCUAGGAAAUUGAGUUUAGAAGAACAUCCAAAAGUUUUUGAGAACAUAAGAUGAAUGUAUUUUGAAAUACUGUUUUAGGUUUAUAUUAUAAGGAGUUUGAGAAAUCAAAGUUUUUGUUCGAUUGAGUUUUGCACGUUCAAAUUUUUCAAUGGCUUCUUGCCAUAGAUAGUUGAUUUUGUUACUUAUUUUGUGUAGCUUUUUCUAUCAGAAACUAGAUUCCAUUAACCUUUGAAUCAAUGAUGAAGGGUAUUCCGAGGUCUGUGUCAAGGCCCCUGUUGAGGGAGGUAUGUUCGACAUGUGGCAAUCCUAACUCAAAUGAGUUGUGGAUGAUGUUCCAUGGAAUCGAUGUUUUUGCUACUAUACAAUUUCAUGCUGCUCACAUCAUCUUGGAGACAGGUUUUCUCUAUGACUUGUAAUUUUGAUAGAUUAUGUGUGUGAGUUAAUCAAUAUGCUAGAUUAACUAGAAAUAUCUUGUCCCACACCAAAUGAGCCAGUCUCUUAGAGGUAGAGCCAGAACUGGGAGUCCUUGUUGAGUAGUUGAACAACUGUUACCACCUGCUACCCAGAGAAAGUUAACUUUCCCCAAAUUUCCACCUCGAAUUUGGGCAGUUUUUAGUGGGCCUGUUGGGUAUUUGUUAUCAGAGAGGAUAUUACUCGGUUCAUACUGCAUUGUGGUUAUGGACAAUAACUAGUUUUGGGCAUUGUCCAAUACUUUGAUAGUUUUGCAUGAGGUGGUUGCUCACCAACUCAAAAUCUAGAUCUUAGCACAUUAUUUAAGACUUUAGCAUGGCACCAAUUGAUACCGUUAACCAGAAACUGUAAUGUUGGCAAUAAAAAGAAAAUAUAGUUUGGUUUCCGGGGAGAUGAGGGAACUUUCACCUGUGCAGGAAAAAGAAAAGAGCCAUUGCACUUGGAGAGUCUUGAAAAAUAACUCAAACUAACAACAAUAUGAGAAAUCUUAUCAACAUGCUUCUGUUAUGAACACAAGUUAUGUGACAAUGGCAAAUGGCCUUCGACAAACAACUAGUGAGAUUGCUAUAAAUUCACCAA